UACAGAGGCCCCAAGCGUUACCCGGAAUCACUGGGCGUAAAGCGUGUGUAGGUGGCAGUAUUAGUCCUCUGUUAAAACUCCGGGCUCAACCCGGAGAUCGCAGAGGAAACGGUACUGCUCGAGGAUGCGAGGGGUAUAGGGAACUCUAGGUGUAGGGGUGAAAUCCGUUGAUAUCUAGGGGAACACCAAAAGCGAAGGCACUAUACUGGCGCAUUCCUGACACUGAGACACGAAAGCGUGGGGAGCGAAUGGG
Molecule: unclassified non-coding RNA, 253 nt
Filed under: uncultured Parcubacteria group bacterium
Lineage: Bacteria
Description: contains 16S-23S intergenic spacer region
Rfam family: Bacterial small subunit ribosomal RNA
Source: RNAcentral